This 216-nucleotide ribosomal RNA is filed under the name uncultured bacterium. Its description in RNAcentral is "partial 16S ribosomal RNA". It matches the Rfam family "Bacterial small subunit ribosomal RNA", at positions 118 to 351 of the family's 1533-position model. The record is from RNAcentral.
UGGGAACGUGCCUUUUGGUUCGGAACAACACAGGGAAACUUGUGCUAAUACCGGAUACGUCCGUAAGGAGAAAGAUUUAUCGCCGAAGGAUUGGCCCGCGUCCGAUUAGCUUGUUGGUGAGGUAAUGGCUCACCAAGGCGACGAUCGGUAGCAGGUCUGAGAGGAUGAUCAGCCUCACUGGGACUGAGACACGGCCCAGACUCCUACGGGAGGCAG